UACAGAGGUCCCAAGCGUUGUUCGGAAUCACUGGGCGUAAAGCGCGUGUAGGCGGCUUCGUAAGUCUGGUGUGAAAGCCCGGGGCUCACCCCCGGAAGUGCACUGGAAACUGCAAGGCUCGAGUACCGGAGAGGAGGGUGGAAUUCCUGGUGUAGCGGUGAAAUGCGUAGAUAUCAGGAGGAACACCGGUGGCGAAGGCGGCCCUCUGGACGGAUACCGACGCUGAGACGCGAAAGCGUGGGGAGCAAACAGG
This 253-nucleotide ribosomal RNA is filed under the name uncultured bacterium. RNAcentral describes it as "partial 16S ribosomal RNA". It matches the Rfam family "Bacterial small subunit ribosomal RNA", at positions 524 to 776 of the family's 1533-position model. The record is from RNAcentral.